ACCCAGCACAUCCAUGAUUGAGAGAGUCGCACUAAGGAUCAGGUCAUGCUGCUAAUUGACAUUGAGCUAGCCUACAUGAACACCAAUCAUGAGGAUUUCAUCGGUUUUGCAAACGCCCAGCAGAGAAGCAGUCAGAUGAAUAAGAAGAAGGCUGCUGGCAACCAGGUAAGCA
Molecule: long non-coding RNA, 172 nt
Organism: Sinocyclocheilus anshuiensis
Lineage: Eukaryota; Metazoa; Chordata; Actinopteri; Cypriniformes; Cyprinidae
Exons: 3
Source: RefSeq, a predicted model, not a curated record